RNAcentral lists this ribosomal RNA (407 nucleotides) under uncultured bacterium. Its description in RNAcentral is "partial 16S ribosomal RNA". It matches the Rfam family "Bacterial small subunit ribosomal RNA", at positions 30 to 526 of the family's 1533-position model. The record is from RNAcentral.
AUUGAACGCUGGCGGCAGGCCUAACACAUGCAAGUCGAACGGAGUGGCGGACGGGGGAGUAAUGUCUGGGAAACUGCGUGAUGGAGGGGGAUAAAUAAUGGGAACGGUAGCUAAUACAGCAUACUCUAAGAUGAACCUAGGUCGGAGGAGCUAGUUGGUGGGGUAAAGGCCUACCAAGGCGACGAUCCGUAACUGGUCUGAGAGGAUGAUCAGGCACACUGGAACUGAGACACGGUCCAGACUCCUACGGGAGGCAGCAGUGGGGAAUAUUGGACAAUGGGCGAAAUCCGGAUCCAGCCAUGCCGCGUGUGUGAAGAAGGUCUUCGGAUUGUAAAGCACUUUAAGUUGGGAGGCGUUACCAACAGAAUAAGCACCGGCUAACUUCGUGCCAGCAGCCGCGGUAAUAC